Molecule: small nuclear RNA, 143 nt
Filed under: Salmo salar (Atlantic salmon)
Lineage: Eukaryota; Metazoa; Chordata; Actinopteri; Salmoniformes; Salmonidae
Description: U4 spliceosomal RNA (ENSSSAG00020028968.1)
Rfam family: U4 spliceosomal RNA
About the family: U4 small nuclear RNA (U4 snRNA) is a component of the major U2-dependent spliceosome.
Source: RNAcentral
AUUCUUUUGCAGUGGCGAUAUCAUAGCCUAUGAAGUCCAUCUGAGGCGUGAUUAUUGCAGUUGAAAACUUAACCCAAUAACACCUGCUUGGGGCGACUUGAAAUAUAGUCAUCCCUGGCAAUUUUUGAUAGUCUCAUGUGAGA